CGAAACGUUUAAAACGUCAUCACCAUCUUUAAACAAUCAUUACCUAUAAGAGAAGGUUUUAAUCACCAUAAUAACCCCCAGCAGCAGUACAGCAUGGACAGAUCCAGCUGAAGGCUGGCACCUUCCUGAUGUUUCGGCUAAUAAGCUACAGGAGAAGCUAGCCUGAAGAACUCCCAUAUCCUUUCCUGCAAGACUGAAGCACACUUAAGUAAUUCUGAGCAAAACACACCAAAUGCUUGUGGCUGCAGCUGCAAGAUCUGUGCUUGUAAGCAUGCAGCUUGUCAGGUAUCAUGCAUCUCAUGCAAAGUAGGUUAGAAAUAACUUAUCUUCAGUGACAGGCAAAACUGAGCAUGGUUAAGGAGUGAGAGUGCACAGAAAAUACAGAUGUUAGGAUUGGAACAUGAUGCAGCCAGACUGGUUGCUGUGGGAAGGCAGCAAGGCAGCCAGGUAGAGACUGCUUUUCCAUGGUAACAACCAAUAUUGCAUGCAUUUCUUGAGGUGAGCCAACAACCGUUUUCCCCCCCCUGCAUGGUAUGAC
Molecule: long non-coding RNA, 538 nt
Filed under: Gallus gallus (chicken)
Lineage: Eukaryota; Metazoa; Chordata; Aves; Galliformes; Phasianidae
Description: long non-coding RNA NONGGAT008436
Source: RNAcentral